This is a long non-coding RNA of Triticum dicoccoides, 484 nucleotides long. RefSeq lists it as uncharacterized. The record is from RefSeq and is a predicted model, not a curated record. The transcript has 2 exons. Lineage: Eukaryota; Viridiplantae; Streptophyta; Magnoliopsida; Poales; Poaceae.
GAUGUCACUACUAACUUCCCCUAUUUCGAUUCCUUCCUUCUCUUCUUGGGUGUUCAUUCCUGGAUGCAUGAAGGUCCACAAGGUGAAGAUGCCUGGCUUGUGCUUGGUGUUGUUCAUGGUGGCCCUGUUGCUUCCUGGAUCUGAAGGCAAAAUUUGCAAGGAGUAUAGCAAAACCUACACUGUUUCUGAAUGCACGAGCAAACCAUGCGUCGAGCACUGCUAUGACGAGGGUUUCGCUGAAGGGGAAUGUAAAACAAGUGAGUAUGAACUUGAUGAUUAUCGAUUCUGUCUCUGCAAGAAACAUUGUUAAUGAUGCUUCAAGAUGUCAAGCAAAGAGUAAUAAGAUCUUGAGGCGGAGUUGUCUGUAACAUCCCAAAAUAUUCCGAUUUUGGAAUGUUAAAUAAAUAAAAGAUACAUGACAUGUGGUUGCAUCAUGUAAGGGACUCGGCUCAAUUGAUAGACAAAUGCCCGCAUGUUGUAUUUC